Molecule: ribosomal RNA, 661 nt
Filed under: Pseudomonas sp. SA045
Lineage: Bacteria; Pseudomonadati; Pseudomonadota; Gammaproteobacteria; Pseudomonadales; Pseudomonadaceae
Description: bacterial SSU rRNA
Rfam family: Bacterial small subunit ribosomal RNA
Source: RNAcentral
GGCGAGCGGCGGACGGGUGAGUAAUGCCUAGGAAUCUGCCUGGUAGUGGGGGAUAACGCUCGGAAACGGACGCUAAUACCGCAUACGUCCUACGGGAGAAAGCAGGGGACCUUCGGGCCUUGCGCUAUCAGAUGAGCCUAGGUCGGAUUAGCUAGUUGGUGAGGUAAUGGCUCACCAAGGCGACGAUCCGUAACUGGUCUGAGAGGAUGAUCAGUCACACUGGAACUGAGACACGGUCCAGACUCCUACGGGAGGCAGCAGUGGGGAAUAUUGGACAAUGGGCGAAAGCCUGAUCCAGCCAUGCCGCGUGUGUGAAGAAGGUCUUCGGAUUGUAAAGCACUUUAAGUUGGGAGGAAGGGCAGUUACCUAAUACGUAUUUGUUUUGACGUUACCGACAGAAUAAGCACCGGCUAACUCUGUGCCAGCAGCCGCGGUAAUACAGAGGGUGCAAGCGUUAAUCGGAAUUACUGGGCGUAAAGCGCGCGUAGGUGGUUCGUUAAGUUGGAUGUGAAAUCCCCGGGCUCAACCUGGGAACUGCAUUCAAAACUGACGAGCUAGAGUAUGGUAGAGGGUGGUGGAAUUUCCUGUGUAGCGGUGAAAUGCGUAGAUAUAGGAAGGAACACCAGUGGCGAAGGCGACCACCUGGACUGAUACUGACACU